This 77-nucleotide transfer RNA is filed under the name Carboxydothermus hydrogenoformans Z-2901. RNAcentral's name for it is "tRNA-Arg (ACG) (tRNA-Arg-ACG-1-1)". It matches the Rfam family "tRNA". From Rfam's summary of the family: Transfer RNA (tRNA) molecules are approximately 80 nucleotides in length. Their secondary structure includes four short double-helical elements and three loops (D, anti-codon, and T loops). Lineage: Bacteria; Bacillati; Bacillota; Clostridia; Thermoanaerobacterales; Thermoanaerobacteraceae. The record is from RNAcentral. RNAcentral also lists the same sequence under 2 other names.
GCGCCCGUAGCUCAACUGGAUAGAGUAACAGACUACGAAUCUGGAGGUUGCAGGUUCGAGUCCUGCCGGGCGCGCCA